AGCUGGCUAAGUGACUUGGGCAUAUCAUAUCCUAUGUAGAGUUUAUUCUCUAUACCUUUAUGUAUUUCUACUUGAGGUAAUCGCAUAUAUCCCUGCUCUAUGUGCUUAGACUUUUCAUGAGACCUUGACUCUUGAGCAAGGACUAUAGGCCAUUAUCUUUGUAGAUGCAUCAUGGCAUUCGAUGGUUUGACAUCCAGUUCUGCAACCAUCAUAAGAAUCAGAAUGCAUCCUGCAUAUCUACGGCAUACUCAGCUUCCAUUGGUUGGUUGCUUGGAACCCUUCCAAUAUACCAAACUAAUAUAAUUCAAGAAUACAUAUCGAUGUAGACAUUCUACCAUCAGC
This 342-nucleotide long non-coding RNA is filed under the name Elaeis guineensis (African oil palm). Its description in RNAcentral is "long non-coding RNA (EGUI_LNC052752)". The record is from RNAcentral. Lineage: Eukaryota; Viridiplantae; Streptophyta; Magnoliopsida; Arecales; Arecaceae.